UCAAAAUGUGCCGCGAAUUUAUCAUAAUGAUAAAUUCGGACGUGUUUAAGAAUUUACUCAUAUAGUAAAUUCAAAGGUGGAGCUCAUGUUGGAGUUUUGACCUUCAGGCGAGACUUUUUUUAUUUAUUGGUUUACGGAUUUGACUUUAAAAAUAAGAGGUCGGUAGGUCGGAAAAAAAUUUAAAAAAAAAACGAACUGAGUAUAAAUGAGAACCGAAAUUAAUAAUCUUUAUAAAAUUUUUUAACGUCAAUUUCAAAAAAACGCAAAAAACGUGGCUAAUCUACAUAUUGAUUGUCACAACGAUAACAUGAGCCAGCAGUACCUAGAGUCAAAGUUCACUUGAAGUGUACUUCAUGUCAGAACCCCAAAUUAAUUAAAAUUAACUAAAAUUGUAAAAUUUUUGACAUUUUUUUAUUUUUAUUUUUCACUUUCUGAAUAUUUACGGUAGGCGGAUCCGUAAACCAAUGAAUAAAAAAAGUCUCGCCUCAGAGGAGGACCUUGGUUGAAUUUGUUGUAUAUUUUAUUUUCAAAAACCUUUAAAAAACGGACACUUACCAAGUUUCCAGCGGAGGUAGCUGCGUAGCAGACGGUUUUUUGGGGGAGGACUUGCGUAGUUCUCCCGCUCUAAAUUUCCAAACCGUCUGCUGGGCAGGCUGCAGCGGAGGAGGCUGCAUUUUGCUGCUUUGUCCCUUCACUGUCUGGUACUAGAGAUGUUCCAUUCACUAAGUUAUAUUCCACGCUCUCAGAAAUAGAGAAAAACCUCUGGCACACCAGCCAGCAAAUCGCAUUCUGUCAAGGAAUCUAAUUAGGAGUAAAGAACUAAUGAGAAUCAACUGCAAUGGGAUUUGAGCAAUUUUAGGCGAAUUUUUAAAAUUUAAUUGUACUUCGAAUUAAUUGUAAUUGUACAUUAAUUUUACUAAAUAUAAAAAUAUAAUGAAUUUUAAUCUUGGA
Non-coding RNA from Paramuricea clavata, 951 nucleotides. Lineage: Eukaryota; Metazoa; Cnidaria; Anthozoa; Malacalcyonacea; Plexauridae. The record is from the annotation of a GenBank genome assembly.